CCUACGGGAGGCAGCAGUGGGGAAAUCUUGGACAAUGGGGGAAACCCUGAUCCAGCGACGCCGCGUGAUCAGUGAAGGCCUUCGGGUCGUAAAGAUCUUUCAGCGGGGAGCUAUGGUGAAGGUACCCGCAGAAGCAGGAGCGGCUAACUACGUGCCAGCAGCCGCGGUAAUACGUAGGCUCCAAGCGUUGUUCGGAAUCACUGGGCGUAAAGCGAGCGCAGGCGGCGCGCCGUGCCGGUCGUGAAAUCUCCCGGCUCAACUGGGAGGGUGCGGUCGAUACUGGCGAGCUAGAGUGCGGAAGAGGAAGGUAGAAUUCCUGGUGUAGCGGUGGAAUGCGUAGAUAUCAGGAGGAAUACCGGUGGUGAAGACGGCCUUCUGGGCCGCAACUGACGCUGAGACUCGAAAGCGUGGGGAGCAAACAGGAUUAGAUACCCUGGUAGUCCACGCCCUAAACGAUGCACACUUGGUGUGGGCUCUUCACUGGGUCCGUGCCGGAGCUAACGCGUUAAGUAUGCCGCCUGGGGAGUACNGUCNCAAGGCUGAAACUCAAAUGAAUUGACGG
Molecule: ribosomal RNA, 562 nt
Filed under: uncultured bacterium
Lineage: Bacteria
Description: bacterial SSU rRNA
Rfam family: Bacterial small subunit ribosomal RNA
Source: RNAcentral